RNAcentral lists this ribosomal RNA (645 nucleotides) under uncultured bacterium. RNAcentral describes it as "bacterial SSU rRNA". It matches the Rfam family "Bacterial small subunit ribosomal RNA", at positions 201 to 842 of the family's 1533-position model. The record is from RNAcentral.
CAAAGGGGGCGACUCCGGUCACGGAUGGGCAUGCGGCGCAUUAGGUAGUUGGUGGGGCAACGGCCCACCAAGCCGACGAUGCGUAGGGGUUCUGAGAGGAAGGUCCCCCACAUUGGAACUGAGACACGGUCCAAACUCCUACGGGAGGCAGCAGUGAGGAAUAUUGGUCAAUGGCCGGAAGGCUGAACCAGCCAAGUCGCGUGAGGGAAUAAGGCCCUACGGGUCGUAAACCUCUUUUGUCAGGGAGCAAGGCCGCCCACGUGUGGACGGAAGGAGAGUACCUGGAGAAAAAGCAUCGGCUAACUCCGUGCCAGCAGCCGCGGUAAUACGGAGGAUGCGAGCGUUAUCCGGAUUUAUUGGGUUUAAAGGGUGCGUAGGCGGCCUGCCAAGUCAGCGGUAAAAUUGCGGGGCUCAACCCCGUACAACCGUUGAAACUGCCGGGCUCGAGUGGGCGAGAAGUAUGCGGAAUGCGUGGUGUAGCGGUGAAAUGCAUAGAUAUCACGCAGAACCCCGAUUGCGAAGGCAGCAUACCGGCGCCCUACUGACGCUGAGGCACGAAAGUGCGGGGAUCAAACAGGAUUAGAUACCCUGGUAGUCCGCACAGUAAACGAUGAAUGCUAGCUGUCCGGGGGGAUUGACCCCUGG